Molecule: long non-coding RNA, 537 nt
Organism: Xenia sp. Carnegie-2017
Lineage: Eukaryota; Metazoa; Cnidaria; Anthozoa; Malacalcyonacea; Xeniidae
Exons: 2
Source: RefSeq, a predicted model, not a curated record
GGCAACUCGCAGGUGAAACGCGUGGCAUAUUUUCUGUGCGCAUGCGUUAGGUCCGCCAUUACUCUGGCCAGUAACUUGACGCUGGCGUACUAUAAAAUAAUAUUGGAAAAGUGCGAUUUGGGGAUAAUAAUCGCCUAAAACGCAAACUGUUUUGGAAGAUCAUGGAAUUUUGUGACAAAACGUGAAAGAAAUAAGUUGUUAUUUUGGCAUUCAGUUCUCAAGUGAGGAUUAUGUUGCAAGUGUCUGGUGUUAUGUAGUUUUAGUAUGUUGGAUUAGAUUUUAGUGGCUACUGGUUGCAGUAGCAUGUUAAACUUUGUUUGUUAAAUUCUAUUACGUUUUUAUUAUGAUUGGGCGGUUUUUGUAAGGGUGCUCUAUUAAACAUUGAUCACAAUUUCUUCAGCUUAAUUGUUUAGUAUACCACUAUUUAUAGAGAAAUUAGCAUUUCUUCUGCACCCCCAUCUAGCUUAAGCUAGGAGGGCUGCACACCCCUCUCUUAUAUCCAUCUCUGAAUAAAGUUGUCAUUAAAUUUUUUAAAUG